This 371-nucleotide ribosomal RNA is filed under the name uncultured bacterium. RNAcentral's name for it is "bacterial SSU rRNA". It matches the Rfam family "Bacterial small subunit ribosomal RNA", at positions 109 to 507 of the family's 1533-position model. The record is from RNAcentral.
AGUAACACGUUGGAACCUGCCCCAAAGUGAGGAAUUAAGCCACCGAAAGGUGGUCUAAUACUUCAUAAUAUCCAUCUCGUAUGGAUUAAAGCUUUAUGCGCUUUGGGAGGGGCCUGCGUAACAUUAGCUUGUUGGUGAGGUAAAAGCUCACCAAGGCUUCGAUGUUUAACCUGGUUUGAGAGGAUGACCAGUCACACUGGGACUGAGAUACGGCCCAGACUCCUACGGGAGGCAGCAGUAAGGAAUCUUCCACAAUGGGGCAACCCUGAUGGAGCAAUACCGCGUGCAGGAUGAAGCGUUUCGGCGUGUAAACUGCUUUAUCGCCGAAGAUUAUGACUGUAGGUGAAGAAUAAGGACCGGCUAACUACGUG